CCUACGGGUGGCAGCAGUGAGGAAUAUUGGUCAAUGGGCGGGAGCCUGAACCAGCCAAGCCGCGUGAAGGAAGAAGGCGCCAGGCGUCGUAAACUUCUUUUGUCGGGGAACAAAGGGCGCCACGUGUGGCGUUGUGAGUGUACCCGAAGCAAAAGCAUCGGCUAACUCCGUGCCAGCAGCCGCGGUAAUACGGAGGAUGCGAGCGUUAUCCGGAUUUACUGGGUGUAAAGGGAGCGUAGACGGUUAUGCAAGUCUGAAGUGAAAGCCCAAGGCUCAACCAUGGGACUGCUUUGGAAACUGUAAAACUGGAGUGCAGGAGAGGUAAGCGGAAUUCCUAGUGUAGCGGUGAAAUGCGUAGAUAUCACGCAGAACUCCGAUUGCGAAGGCAGCAUACCGGCGCCCAACUGACGCUGAAGCACGAAAGCGUGGGUAUCGAACAGGAUUAGAUACCCUUGUAGUC
This 460-nucleotide ribosomal RNA is filed under the name uncultured bacterium. Its description in RNAcentral is "partial 16S ribosomal RNA". It matches the Rfam family "Bacterial small subunit ribosomal RNA", at positions 338 to 795 of the family's 1533-position model. The record is from RNAcentral.